This 253-nucleotide ribosomal RNA is filed under the name uncultured bacterium. RNAcentral's name for it is "partial 16S ribosomal RNA". It matches the Rfam family "Bacterial small subunit ribosomal RNA", at positions 524 to 776 of the family's 1533-position model. The record is from RNAcentral.
UACGUAGGGCGCAAGCGUUGUCCGGAAUUAUUGGGCGUAAAGAGCUCGUAGGCGGUUUGUCGCGUCUGUCGUGAAAGCUUGGGGCUUAACCCCAAGUCUGCGGUGGAUACGGGCAGACUAGAGGCAGGUAGGGGAGAACGGAAUUCCCGGUGUAGCGGUGAAAUGCGCAGAUAUCGGGAGGAACACCUGUGGCGAAGGCGGCCCCCUGGGCCGCGCCUGACGCUGAGACGCGAAGGCUAGGGGAGCGAACGGG